RNAcentral lists this transfer RNA (75 nucleotides) under Meiothermus sp. Pnk-1. Its description in RNAcentral is "tRNA-Met". It matches the Rfam family "tRNA". From Rfam's summary of the family: Transfer RNA (tRNA) molecules are approximately 80 nucleotides in length. Their secondary structure includes four short double-helical elements and three loops (D, anti-codon, and T loops). Further hydrogen bonds mediate the characteristic L-shaped molecular structure. tRNAs have two regions of fundamental functional importance: the anti-codon, which is responsible for specific mRNA codon recognition, and the 3' end, to which the tRNAs corresponding amino acid is attached (by aminoacyl-tRNA synthetases). tRNAs cope with the degeneracy of the genetic code in two manners: having more than one tRNA (with a specific anti-codon) for a particular amino acid; and 'wobble' base-pairing, i.e. permitting non-standard base-pairing at the 3rd anti-codon position. The record is from RNAcentral. Lineage: Bacteria; Thermotogati; Deinococcota; Deinococci; Thermales; Thermaceae.
UGCGGGGAAGGCAACCGGGUAGCCGCGUGGCUCAUAACCACGAGACGCUGGGUUCGACUCCCAGCCCCGCAACCA